AUAACUGUUCGAUUGGAUAGAUUCGUAUUUCUAUCCGUAACAAGAAAUUAUUGUUCGUGAUGAACUAUCAUCAAAACGAAGAAUAAGAAAAAAUGAAGACUGUGGUGAUAUAUUUGUGUGCAUAUAAUAAUAAAGAUGUUUGUGCUGUUUCCAUGUUUUACCGACCAAGAGUGCAGAGAUAGCAAAAAUAAAACCAGCAGACCAACAACAUUCAAAAAUCCAAACCCGUACUCAUUAUAUAUUGAUAUGUAUUUAAACGUUAAUCGGACGGAUGAUGCUAAACACGACAAUCAGAUCUCAGGUUGCACUGUCAGGCGGCGAAGUAACAUAAAAUCGAGAUCAUAGACCCGUCAUAAUUAUUGGAAUAUCAAGACUUAGGUAAGAGACAUUUCCGUACAACAUUUUAAAGAAAAUUUUUUGGUUAAAAAGCAAAAAUUGUAUUUGGAAUAAUUUUUCAUUAAAUUUUUCUUAUUUCCAAACUAA
Molecule: long non-coding RNA, 483 nt
Organism: Bradysia coprophila
Lineage: Eukaryota; Metazoa; Arthropoda; Insecta; Diptera; Sciaridae
Source: RefSeq, a predicted model, not a curated record